AUCGGGAUAGCUCAGUGGUUAGAGCAACAGCCCCAUGCGGGUUCGAAUCCCGCUCCCGAUACUA
RNAcentral lists this transfer RNA (64 nucleotides) under Chitinophagaceae bacterium. RNAcentral describes it as "tRNA-Ser". It matches the Rfam family "tRNA". Rfam says of the family: Transfer RNA (tRNA) molecules are approximately 80 nucleotides in length. Their secondary structure includes four short double-helical elements and three loops (D, anti-codon, and T loops). The record is from RNAcentral. Lineage: Bacteria; Pseudomonadati; Bacteroidota; Chitinophagia; Chitinophagales; Chitinophagaceae.